Molecule: ribosomal RNA, 836 nt
Filed under: uncultured eukaryote
Lineage: Eukaryota
Description: bacterial SSU rRNA
Rfam family: Eukaryotic small subunit ribosomal RNA
Source: RNAcentral
UUCCAGCUCCAAUAGCGUAUAUUAAAGUUGUUGCAGUUAAAAAGCUCGUAGUUGAACUUCAGACCUGGCUGGGUGGUCCGCUUAACGGCGUGUACUGCUUGGCUGGGCCUUACUUCUUGGUGAGCCGGCGUGCCCUUUAUUGGUGUGCGUCGGGGAACCAGGACUUUUACCUUGAGAAAAUUAGAGUGCUUAAAGCAGGCUAUCCUCGCCUGAAUACUGCGUGCAUGGAAUAAUGGAAUAGGACCUCGGUUCUAUUUUGUUGGUUUUCGGAACCCCGAGGUAAUGAUUAAUAGGGACAGAUGGGGGCAUUCGUAUUGCGACGUUAGAGGUGAAAUUCUUGGAUCGUCGCAAGACGGACAGAAGCGAAAGCAUUUGCCAAAAAUGUUUUCAUUAAUCAAGAACGAAAGUUAGAGGUUCGAAGGCGAUCAGAUACCGCCCUAGUUCUAACCAUAAACGAUGCCAGCUAGCGAUCCGCCGAAGUUCCUCCGAUGACUCGGCGGGCAGCUUCCGGGAAACCAAAGCUUUUGGGUUCCGGGGGAAGUAUGGUUGCAAAGCUGAAACUUAAAGGAAUUGACGGAAGGGCACCACCAGGAGUGGAGCCUGCGGCUUAAUUUGACUCAACACGGGAAACCUCACCAGGCCCAGACACCGGAAGGAUUGACAGAUUGAUAGCUCUUUCAUGAUUUUAUGGGUGGUGGUGCAUGGCCGUUCUUAGUUGGUGGAGUGAUUUGUCUGGUUAAUUCCGAUAACGAACGAGACCUUAACCUGCUAAAUAGCCAGGCCGGCUUCGGCUGGUCUCUGGCUUCUUAGAGGGACUGUCAGCGUCUAGCUGACGG